AUUACAUUUUUAUGAAUUUCUUCUCCAUGCUUUCUUCCUGUGUCUGCAUGAGCUUAUCACAAGGUCUCCUUAUGUUUGAUAAAUUUGAGCUAAUGCCUGACCCCUUUCUUGUGCAAUUCAUACCAUCUUUGAGCCUGAUAUUUAAAACUAUGAGUAGCUAUUAAUUUCAUAGUAGUUAUUGUCCUAACUAAGGAAGCACAAGUCUUAUCUUAAAGAUAAAGCCCUAGGCGGUAGAGCCAGGUACAAAAGAAAACUGAGCUAAGUUGAUAUAACAUAAGGCAAAUAGAUGGUCUAAGAAAAAUUCUAAGCGACCAUUUCACUUAAAUGGUGCCCAAGAUGCAAUUUUGGUCAACCAGAUGAUUUUCUAUCAUAUAGACACUACCUUAAUGUAAGUUCCUUUUCUAGCUUUCUAGUCAUGCCAGUAUGUUGAGGACAAGAUGAGCUUUAUGGAAAUGAAAUCUGUGGAGCUGCUGCAGGCCCUGUGCUCGGGAGGGCCCCACAAUUGCUUUCAUACUCUGCUGUCACCAUCUUGAAAUUCAUAGUAAUUUUAAAACAGGAGAUCCCCCGUUUUCAUUUCGUGCAGGGCCCUGCAAUUUGUGGGUCCGCUCGUGGCUGAAGGCCCCUCCAACUACCAACCAGCUGUCAUCCAGGACAAGAUUUUAUGGACGUCAUGGCUUUCAGUGGCUAAAGCCCAGCGCUAGCCCCUGUCCCAACAAAUUGAAAAACUGAAUGCCAGGAAAAUCCACCCUUCAGUUAAAAGAUGUGUUGGAAAACAAGUUGCUCUUCGAAAUGACCUAAAGAGGAAUCUGAGGGAGACAAGGUAGACCAGACACCUGGAGGCUCCUGGAAUCUUGGAAUUCUGGUUCAGGUGCUCACUGAAUUUGAAGAAAGAGCAGAGGAAUAAGUCAUCCAUGAAAAUAAGUUUUGGUCCAUUACCCUAGAACAAAGAGAAAUCAGAUAACUAUACGAACCGCGUGAACAUUUCAUAAUGGGCAGAAUUGUUGAAUCGCUACAUUGUGUUCCUAAACCUAAUGUAACAUUGUCUGUCAACUGUAAUUCAACAGUAAAAUAAAAAGUUUUAUUUAUUUUUAUUUAUUUAUUUUUAAAUAGGCUCCAU
Mustela erminea (ermine) is the source of this 1117-nucleotide long non-coding RNA. RefSeq lists it as uncharacterized. The transcript is spliced from 3 exons. The record is from RefSeq and is a predicted model, not a curated record. NCBI's taxonomy places the organism in Eukaryota, Metazoa, Chordata, Mammalia, Carnivora, Mustelidae.